RNAcentral lists this ribosomal RNA (373 nucleotides) under uncultured eukaryote. Its description in RNAcentral is "partial 18S ribosomal RNA". It matches the Rfam family "Eukaryotic small subunit ribosomal RNA", at positions 592 to 976 of the family's 1831-position model. The record is from RNAcentral.
CAAUAGCGUAUAUUAAAGUUGUUGCAGUUAAAAAGCUCGUAGUUGAAUUUUUGCUUGCCGCCGAUGUCGGAACUUCCGUACGUUCGGCGGCGUGCAUCCUUGGGUGGAACCUGUGUGGCAUUAGGUUGUCGUGCAGGGGAUGCUCAUCGUUUACUGUGAAAAAAUUAGAGUGUUCAAAGCAGGCUUAUGCCGUUGAAUAUAUUAGCAUGGAAUAAUAAGAUAGGACUUUGGUACUAUUUUGUUGGUUUGCGCACCGAGGUAAUGAUUAACAGGGACAGUUGGGGGUAUUCGUAUUCCAUUGUCAGAGGUGAAAUUCUUGGAUUUCUGGAAGACGAACUACUGCGAAAGCAUUUACCAAGGAUGUUUUCAUUAA